GGCGGCAUGCUUAACACAUGCAAGUCGAACGGUAACAGGCCCUUCGGGGUGCUGACGAGUGGCGGACGGGUGAGUAAUGCGUAGGGAUCUGCCUAGUGGUGUGGGAUAACCUAGGGAAACUUAGGGUAAUACCGCAUAAGCCUCACGAGGUAAAGCCGGGGACCGAAAGGCCUGGCGCUGCUAGAUGAACCUACGUCGGAUUAGCUAGUUGGUAGGGUAAAGGCCUACCAAGGCGAUGAUCCGUAGCUGGUUUGAGAGGACGACCAGCCACACUGGGACUGAGACACGGCCCAGACUCCUACGGGAGGCAGCAGUGGGGAAUAUUGGACAAUGGGCGAAAGCCUGAUCCAGCAAUGCCGCGUGAGUGAUGAAGGCCUUAGGGUUGUAAAGCUCUUUUACCCGGGAAGAUAAUGACUGUACCGGGAGAAUAAGCCCCGGCUAACUCCGUGCCAGCAGCCGCGGUAAUACGGAAGGGGCUAGCGUUGUUCCGGAAUUACUGGGCGUAAAGCGCACGU
Molecule: ribosomal RNA, 515 nt
Filed under: uncultured Gammaproteobacteria bacterium
Lineage: Bacteria; Pseudomonadati; Pseudomonadota; Gammaproteobacteria
Description: bacterial SSU rRNA
Rfam family: Bacterial small subunit ribosomal RNA
Source: RNAcentral